Molecule: ribosomal RNA, 468 nt
Filed under: uncultured bacterium
Lineage: Bacteria
Description: bacterial SSU rRNA
Rfam family: Bacterial small subunit ribosomal RNA
Source: RNAcentral
UUACCAGACUCCUACGGGAGGCAGCAGUGAGGAAUAUUGGUCAAUGGGAGGAAUCCUGAACCAGCCAUGCCGCGUGCAGGACGACGGCUCUACGAGUUGUAAACUGCUUUUGUACCGGGGUAAAAUGCCUUACGAGUAGGGUUUUGAAAGUACGGUACGAAUAAGGAUCGGCUAACUCCGUGCCAGCAGCCGCGGUAAUACGGAGGGUGCGAGCGUUAAUCGGAAUUACUGGGCGUAAAGCGCUCGUAGGCGGUAUGUCAAGUCAAGGGUGAAAUCCCCGCGCUCAGCGUGGGAACUGCCUUUGAAACUGGCAAACUGGAGUGUGUGAGAGGAUAGUGGAAUUCCAGGUGUAGGAGUGAAAUCCGUAGAUAUCUGGAGGAACAUCAGUGGCGAAGGCGACUAUCUGGCACAUAACUGACGCUGAGGAGCGAAAGCGUGGGUAGCAAACAGGAUUAGAUACCCCCGUAA